AUGACAACCGCAGAACAAUUUUUUGUCUGUUGUCAAAGGUUGCCUUGAGUUUUCAGCUGACUUUUUGGAAAAUAUUCAAAACAAACCAAGUUGACAGCCAAAUCAAUGCAUAAUUUCAGUUCAACUUGCUGAUUUUUACCCUGCGGAAGUUAGGCGGCAAUAAUCUCCUGUAACUCACAGCGAUGGAGAAACGUGAUUUUAUCUCGCAAUAAGCAAUAAUAAGUAUCAACAAACGAACCUACCCUGUCACGGCGUUCUAGCAGGAUUCUAGCAGAGUUCUUACAGAGCUGGAUAUUCUUACAGAAUUCUAGCAGAAAUGUUCGACCGUUCUAGCAGGAUUCUGACAGAACCAGCUUUGCUAGAGUAUUUCGUGACUGGGUAACAUGACACUUAAUAUGUGCAGCCGUCGCUCUUGCAACGGACACACCAUUACACUGAACCCGUGCGACGCUCCUGAAACGAACGCACCAUAGUUGAGCGAGCUGUCAAAGUUUUUCACUCGCGCGUGCUCGAUCCUGUCUGUGUCUGUAUUCGGUCGCAGUGUUAACCGAAAUUUUCAACGGUAAAUCGCGUGUGCUCGUGAAAAAGUAACAUCCAGCGGUUGGCCUCAGGAUUCUGAAUGCGUUCCUGGUGUUGGACACAUCCGCCGGGUGUUCGAACUGUUCCGACGAUGGCGAAGAGUUUUGCUUUAAAACAACGAAUGUUUCAGGUGGGUUAUAUUUGCGGAGGGCGGAAUCCCGUCCCACGGCAUACAUUUUCUUUUGCCUGCUUGAGCUGCUUGGAUAUUGGCUGAUGCAUGAAGUGAUUUGUUCAUCUUUUUUCGGCACACUCAACAAACGUCAAACCAAACAAAAUUGCUGCCGGAUCUUUUCCGGGAGAGAUCCGGAAAAAGAUCCGGCAGCAAUUUUUACUGAUUUGACAUUUGCUGAGGAUGCCGAAAAGUUUUUUUUGUGUUACUCUCGCAAAAGACAAUUAGGUUUUACGCCGACUCGAUUUGGAGGAUAGAAAAGAGUGCACAGUUCGAUGCGGUCGUCGAUUUUGUUCGGUGAAAUUCGUCGACAAUCGACGAAGACCAUGUAAACAGUGCACACGAGCUGUCAAAUGACGUCACGGCGUAAAACCUAAUUAGGUUUCACAGCUUGACAUCAUGAGCGCACACGCACACACAUUUUUACUGACACACGUGUAAAAAAUGUAAACAGUAAAGGCAAGCUGUCAAAUUUCUAACCUUAAACUCGAGUCGGCGUAAAACCUGAUUGGCUGAUGCAAGAAGUGAUUUGUCUUCAUUUUUCGACUCUCCCAACCAACGUCAAACCACUCAAAAUUGCUGUCGGAUCUUUUCCGGAAGAGAUCCGGCAGCAAGUUUGUACUGAUUUACGUUUGCUGCGGGUGCCGAAAAGUUUGGUUAUGUUGCUGCAUGUAAAAACAAUACGAUCAUUUAGUGUUUUUAUUCAACAGGGAACAUUUCGCCUACGGGGUGAACUUCGCGCUCGAUUUGGACGAGGAAAGCCGCAACAGAAUCACUCGACAAGAUCGCCAAGAAGUUGGCUUUUCUACAAGGACGAUCGUGGAUGGCGUGUGGCCCAAUUUGUGCUGCCGGGGAGUACCAGUCCGGUCGCAAUCAUCAGACGAUAGAGGAACAUCAUUGCACAUGGGUCAAAUGAUCACCAAGGGAACAUUCCCAACACAACCGGCACUAACGAAACCAGCAAAUCAAUCCGGAGUCUCCAGUCGACAAAAAGGAGCCGGUGGUCAGUUUAAACGCACCAUGACAUCACCCAUCCGAGGAGAAACAAGAAUCGGUCGCGAUCGAGAUCGAAAGCGAAAGAAAGCGGCUUCGUUUUGGUGUUUGCAAAACUCUAGAGAAGACAUUAUCAAUUAACAAUUGAAAAAAAAAAACAAAGUUAUUCAAUGUUGAAUGUAAAUAAAUUACAAUGAAUAAUAUAAAA
This is a long non-coding RNA of Culex pipiens pallens (northern house mosquito), 1949 nucleotides long. RefSeq lists it as uncharacterized. The transcript has 3 exons. The record is from RefSeq and is a predicted model, not a curated record. NCBI's taxonomy places the organism in Eukaryota, Metazoa, Arthropoda, Insecta, Diptera, Culicidae.